RNAcentral lists this ribosomal RNA (432 nucleotides) under uncultured bacterium. Its description in RNAcentral is "partial 16S ribosomal RNA". It matches the Rfam family "Bacterial small subunit ribosomal RNA", at positions 29 to 507 of the family's 1533-position model. The record is from RNAcentral.
ACGAACGCUGGCGGCAGGCUUAACCCAUGCAAGUCGAACGGAUCCUUCGGGAUUAGUGGCAGACGGGUGAGUAACGCGUGGGAACGUACCCUUUGCUACGGAAUAACUCAGGGAAACUUGAGCUAAUACCGUAUGUGCCCUACGGGGGAAAGAUUUAUCGGCAAAGGAUCGGCCCGCGUUGGAUUAGCUAGUUGGUGGGGUAAUGGCCUACCAAGGCGACGAUCCAUAGCUGGUCUGAGAGGAUGAUCAGCCACACUGGGACUGAGACACGGCCCAGACUCCUACGGGAGGCAGCAGUGGGGAAUAUUGGACAAUGGGCGCAAGCCUGAUCCAGCCAUGCCGCGUGAGUGAUGAAGGUCUUAGGAUUGUAAAGCUCUUUCACCGGUGAAGAUAAUGACGGUAGCCGGAGAAGAAGCCCCGGCUAACUUCGUG